GGGCUCGUAGCUCAGCAUGGAUAGAGCGCCUGCCUUCUAAAUUCUAUUGAAGAAUUCUAUUGAAGAGAGCCGGAAGUCGUGGGAUCGAAGCCCACCGGGCCCG
Molecule: transfer RNA, 103 nt
Filed under: Candidatus Nitrososphaera gargensis Ga9.2
Lineage: Archaea; Thermoproteati; Nitrososphaerota; Nitrososphaeria; Nitrososphaerales; Nitrososphaeraceae
Description: tRNA-Arg
Rfam family: tRNA
About the family: Transfer RNA (tRNA) molecules are approximately 80 nucleotides in length. Their secondary structure includes four short double-helical elements and three loops (D, anti-codon, and T loops).
Source: RNAcentral